GAGAAUAAAUAUAAUUUUAAUUCUCAUCAAAUCAAUUUAUUUGCAAUAAUACCAUGGUCCUUUGGCAUUAUUUUAGAGGAGAAGGAAUAGACAACAUUUGGAAUGCAUAGAACAAAACAAACACAAAACAAAAAUAGUGCUAGUGAGUGAGAGAAGAUAAAGAGCUCAUGAAAGAGUGAAGAGAAGCAAAGGAAGGAAAAGCUUAACCUCAAUUUAGGGAGUUCACUACAAUCCAA
RNAcentral lists this long non-coding RNA (236 nucleotides) under Trifolium pratense (red clover). RNAcentral describes it as "long non-coding RNA (TPRA_LNC009909)". The record is from RNAcentral. Lineage: Eukaryota; Viridiplantae; Streptophyta; Magnoliopsida; Fabales; Fabaceae.